RNAcentral lists this ribosomal RNA (1346 nucleotides) under uncultured bacterium. Its description in RNAcentral is "partial 16S ribosomal RNA". It matches the Rfam family "Bacterial small subunit ribosomal RNA", at positions 28 to 1381 of the family's 1533-position model. The record is from RNAcentral.
GACGAACUUUGGCGGCGUGCUUAACACAUGCAAGUCGAACGGAAAGGCCCUGCUUUUGUGGGGUGCUCGAGUGGCGAACGGGUGAGUAACACGUGAGUAACCUGCCCUUGACUUUGGGAUAACUUCAGGAAACUGGGGCUAAUACUGGAUAGGAGCUCCUGCUGCAUGGUGGGGGUUGGAAAGUUUCGGCGGUUGGGGAUGGACUCGCGGCUUAUCAGCUUGUUGGUGGGGUAGUGGCUUACCAAGGCUUUGACGGGUAGCCGGCCUGAGAGGGUGACCGGCCACAUUGGGACUGAGAUACGGCCCAGACUCCUACGGGAGGCAGCAGUGGGGAAUAUUGCACAAUGGGCGGAAGCCUGAUGCAGCAACGCCGCGUGCGGGAUGACGGCCUUCGGGUUGUAAACCGCUUUCGCCUGUGACGAAGCGUGAGUGACGGUAAUGGGUAAAGAAGCACCGGCUAACUACGUGCCAGCAGCCGCGGUGAUACGUAGGGUGCGAGCGUUGUCCGGAUUUAUUGGGCGUAAAGGGCUCGUAGGUGGUUGAUCGCGUCGGAAGUGUAAUCUUGGGGCUUAACCCUGAGCGUGCUUUCGAUACGGGUUGACUUGAGGAAGGUAGGGGAGAAUGGAAUUCCUGGUGGAGCGGUGGAAUGCGCAGAUAUCAGGAGGAACACCAGUGGCGAAGGCGGUUCUCUGGGCCUUUCCUGACGCUGAGGAGCGAAAGCGUGGGGAGCGAACAGGCUUAGAUACCCUGGUAGUCCACGCUGUAAACGGUGGGUACUAGGUGUGGGGUCCAUUCCACGGGUUCCGUGCCGUAGCUAACGCUUUAAGUACCCCGCCUGGGGAGUACGGCCGCAAGGCUAAAACUCAAAGGAAUUGACGGGGCCCCGCACAAGCGGCGGAGCAUGCGGAUUAAUUCGAUGCAACGCGUAGAACCUUACCUGGGUUUGACAUGGAUCGGGAGUGCUCAGAGAUGGGUGUGCCUCUUUUGGGGUCGGUUCACAGGUGGUGCAUGCCUGUCGUCAGCUCGUGUCGUGAGAUGUUGGGUUAAGUCCCGCAACGAGCGCAACCCUUGUUCACUGUUGCCAGCACGUUAUGGUGGGGACUCAGUGGAGACCGCCGGGGUCAACUCGGAGGAAGGUGGGGAUGACGUCAAGUCAUCAUGCCCCUUAUGUCCAGGGCUUCACGCAUGCUACAAUGGCUGGUACAGAGAGUGGCGAGCCUGUGAGGGUGAGCGAAUCUCGGAAAGCCGGUCUCAGUUCGGAUUGGGGUCUGCAACUCGACCUCAUGAAGUCGGAGUCGCUAGUAAUCGCAGAUCAGCAACGCUGCGGUGAAUACGUUCCCGGGGCU